CUUGGAGAGUUUGAUCCUGGCUCAGAACGAACGCUGGCGGCAGGCUUAACACAUGCAAGUCGAGCGCCCCGCAAGGGGAGCGGCAGACGGGUGAGUAACGCGUGGGAACGUACCAUUUGCUACGGAAUAACUCAGGGAAACUUGUGCUAAUACCGUAUGUGCCCUUCGGGGGAAAGAUUUAUCGGCAAAUGAUCGGCCCGCGUUGGAUUAGCUAGUUGGUGGGGUAAAGGCUCACCAAGGCGACGAUCCAUAGCUGGUCUGAGAGGAUGAUCAGCCACACUGGGACUGAGACACGGCCCAGACUCCUACGGGAGGCAGCAGUGGGGAAUAUUGGACAAUGGGCGCAAGCCUGAUCCAGCCAUGCCGCGUGAGUGAUGAAGGCCCUAGGGUUGUAAAGCUCUUUCACCGRKAAGAUAAKACGGUAACCGGAGAAGAAGCCGGCUAYUU
This 447-nucleotide ribosomal RNA is filed under the name Brucella melitensis. RNAcentral's name for it is "bacterial SSU rRNA". It matches the Rfam family "Bacterial small subunit ribosomal RNA", at positions 1 to 502 of the family's 1533-position model. The record is from RNAcentral. Lineage: Bacteria; Pseudomonadati; Pseudomonadota; Alphaproteobacteria; Hyphomicrobiales; Brucellaceae.